RNAcentral lists this ribosomal RNA (1508 nucleotides) under metagenome. RNAcentral describes it as "bacterial SSU rRNA". It matches the Rfam family "Bacterial small subunit ribosomal RNA". The record is from RNAcentral.
AGAGUUUGAUCCUGGCUCAGGACGAACGCUGGCGGCGUGCCUAAUACAUGCAAGUCGAGCGGACAGAUGGGAGCUUGCUCCCUGAUGUUAGCGGCGGACGGGUGAGUAACACGUGGGUAACCUGCCUGUAAGACUGGGAUAACUCCGGGAAACCGGGGCUAAUACCGGAUGGUUGUUUGAACCGCAUGGUUCAAACAUAAAAGGUGGCUUCGGCUACCACUUACAGAUGGACCCGCGGCGCAUUAGCUAGUUGGUGAGGUAACGGCUCACCAAGGCAACGAUGCGUAGCCGACCUGAGAGGGUGAUCGGCCACACUGGGACUGAGACACGGCCCAGACUCCUACGGGAGGCAGCAGUAGGGAAUCUUCCGCGAUGGACGAAAGUCUGACGGAGCAACGCCGCGUGAGUGAUGAAGGUUUUCGGAUCGUAAAGCUCUGUUGUUAGGGAAGAACAAGUACCGUUCGAAUAGGGCGGUACCUUGACGGUACCUAACCAGAAAGCCACGGCUAACUACGUGCCAGCAGCCGCGGUAAUACGUAGGUGGCAAGCGUUGUCCGGAAUUAUUGGGCGUAAAGGGCUCGCAGGCGGUUUCUUAAGUCUGAUGUGAAAGCCCCCGGCUCAACCGGGGAGGGUCAUUGGAAACUGGGGAACUUGAGUGCAGAAGAGGAGAGUGGAAUUCCACGUGUAGCGGUGAAAUGCGUAGAGAUGUGGAGGAACACCAGUGGCGAAGGCGACUCUCUGGUCUGUAACUGACGCUGAGGAGCGAAAGCGUGGGGAGCGAACAGGAUUAGAUACCCUGGUAGUCCACGCCGUAAACGAUGAGUGCUAAGUGUUAGGGGGUUUCCGCCCCUUAGUGCUGCAGCUAACGCAUUAAGCACUCCGCCUGGGGAGUACGGUCGCAAGACUGAAACUCAAAGGAAUUGACGGGGGCCCGCACAAGCGGUGGAGCUUGUGGUUUAAUUCGAAGCAACGCGAAGAACCUUACCAGAUCUUGACAUCCUCUGACAAUCCUAGAGAUAGGACGUCCCCUUCGGGGGCAGAGUGACAGGUGGUGCAUGGUUGUCGUCAGCUCGUGUCGUGAGAUGUUGGGUUAAGUCCCGCAACGAGCGCAACCCUUGAUCUUAGUUGCCAGCAUUCAGUUGGGCACUCUAAGGUGACUGCCGGUGACAAACCGGAGGAAGGUGGGGAUGACGUCAAAUCAUCAUGCCCCUUAUGACCUGGGCUACACACGUGCUACAAUGGACAGAACAAAGGGCAGCGAAACCGCGAGGUUAAGCCAAUCCCACAAAUCUGUUCUCAGUUCGGAUCGCAGUCUGCAACUCGACUGCGUGAAGCUGGAAUCGCUAGUAAUCGCGGAUCAGCAUGCCGCGGUGAAUACGUUCCCGGGCCUUGUACACACCGCCCGUCACACCACGAGAGUUUGUAACACCCGAAGUCGGUGAGGUAACCUUUUAGGAGCCAGCCGCCGAAGGUGGGACAGAUGAUUGGGGUGAAGUCGAAACAAGGUA